CUGUGGCUUGGGUAGGUUACUUAACCUCUCUGUGCGUUGGUUCCUCAAGUGUAAGAUGGGGAUAAAAUACUACUUCCCCAGUAGUGUAUGCAGCCUGUUGCCUGUAUGGGUUGCCCUAAGGGACCUUGGAGACAGCC
Small nucleolar RNA from Orcinus orca (killer whale), 137 nucleotides. RefSeq annotates it as small nucleolar RNA SNORA70. NCBI's taxonomy places the organism in Eukaryota, Metazoa, Chordata, Mammalia, Artiodactyla, Delphinidae. The transcript has a single exon. The record is from RefSeq and is a predicted model, not a curated record.